CCGUCUCAGUUCGGAUCGCAGGCUGCAACCCGCCUGCGUGAAGUCGGAAUCGCUAGUAAUCGCGGAUCAGCAUGCCGCGGUGAAUACGUUCCCGGGCCUUGUACACACCGCCCGUCACACCAUGAGAGUCGGGAACACCCGAAGUCCGUAGCCUAACCGCAAGGAGGGCGCGGCCGAAGGUGGGUUCGAUAAUUGGGGUGAAGUCGUAACAAGGUAGC
Molecule: ribosomal RNA, 218 nt
Filed under: uncultured bacterium
Lineage: Bacteria
Description: partial 16S ribosomal RNA
Rfam family: Bacterial small subunit ribosomal RNA
Source: RNAcentral